Long non-coding RNA from Neodiprion fabricii, 485 nucleotides. RefSeq lists it as uncharacterized. The record is from RefSeq and is a predicted model, not a curated record. The transcript has 2 exons. NCBI's taxonomy places the organism in Eukaryota, Metazoa, Arthropoda, Insecta, Hymenoptera, Diprionidae.
UUGCAAUUCUCGCGAAGUUUUUUUCAUUCUUCAACCUGCCGUAAGAAUGACACGUUUGUACACCUAUGUCACAUGGGCUUUUGACAGCUGUGUUUCGUGACGGUGAUUGGCUGCGGCUAUUUCGCGACGGCAGAAAACGCCAUAUUGGUCGCACUUUCCCUCCACGCCCUCCGCAGUCCGCUGCUGUGCUGCGAUCGCUGUGAUGUCUGACGGGGCGGGGCGUCAAUGACGCGGGGGCGCGGGAAGCGCGAAACUUUAGGAAGCGGGAUCGCGCGGACGCGCGCAGCCUCGGGCAGACACUUACCCUCGGCCAACAAACGUGUAUUCUUAACAGUGUAAUUUUCAACAAGACGCCAGCAUCUAAAUUUGCAACCAUAUGUAUUUCCUCACGAUUAUAAAAUAAUUAUUGAUUCAUGUGUACUAAUUAUAAAGUAAAUCACAGUAACAAGCAGACUGCCCACAUGACAUGAAAACUUUCUAUGAAA